Molecule: ribosomal RNA, 301 nt
Filed under: uncultured bacterium
Lineage: Bacteria
Description: partial 16S ribosomal RNA
Rfam family: Bacterial small subunit ribosomal RNA
Source: RNAcentral
CAGUCGCCACGGUAAUACGGAGGGGGCUAGCGUUGUUCGGAAUUACUGGGCGUAAAGCGCACGUAGGCGGCUUGGUAAGUUAGAGGUGAAAGCCCAGGGCUCAACCCUGGAAUUGCCUUUAAGACUGCCGAGCUAGUAGGUGAGAGAGGUAAGUGGAAUUCCGAGUGUAGAGGUGAAAUUCGUAGAUAUUCGGAAGAACACCAGUGGCGAAGGCGGCUUACUGGCUCAUUCUAGACGCUGAGGUGCGAAAGCGUGGGGAGCAAACAGGAUUAGAGACCCCCGUAGUCCCUGUCUCUUAUAC